Sorex araneus (European shrew) is the source of this 772-nucleotide long non-coding RNA. RefSeq lists it as uncharacterized. The record is from RefSeq and is a predicted model, not a curated record. The transcript has 3 exons. NCBI's taxonomy places the organism in Eukaryota, Metazoa, Chordata, Mammalia, Eulipotyphla, Soricidae.
UCGCGGGGACUCUGGAACCCUAGGACUGGACUCGCCGUUGUCCCGGACACCCGGGGCUGACGCGUGGGCUCCGUCGGGGCGCAGAAGGGGACCAAGGCGCACGCAAGGCGCGUCCUGGUUCGCAAGGAUUUCCCCGCCACCUUCCGGACAAAGUCUCAAGUACAAGUUCAAGUUCAAGGCCAGGCCCGUUGGGGAGGGCUUGGGAGGGGGCUGAGCCGACCCGGGUUAGCCUUUGUUCCUGCCGAGAAUCAUUUCAGGUCCCCUUCCCGGUUGCGCCCUGCAGACGCCCCGCGGGAGCGACUCACCCUCCCGCCGGCCCGGCGCCGCCUGUGCCCUGGUCCCCCACGCCCCCACUCGGGGGCCACUGAAGGGUCUGGGGCUCCAGGAGGGUGGGGGAGGCGCGGUUGAAGCCCGUGGGAGCCGCCCUGGUCCCGCAGUUUCCGCGGCAAAUCGAGCUUGGCCGGACGGAUUCGAGCAAGGAGUUCAGGGAACCCAGCGCUGCUUUCCUGGAGUAAAACGCUUCCAGCCAAGAAGAGUUGCAAACGCAUGCGGGGUGGCUGCUGUUCUAUUGGACCCACUUUGGAAAAGUAUAACCAUAGAACUUCAUGAGCCAGGGGCCAGAGAGAUAGUACAGUGGUACAAGACAAGGGCCAUGGCCAGGGACACGAAGAGUCCAGCAGCCUGGAACUUGCCCUGCGUGCUGGCUGUCCAGUUCCGUUUGGAGUCUUCAAAGUCAAAGGCAUGGACAAGGCUGAGGGGAGAGGCGGGCAGG